UUCUUUAGAGCCUGUAAUAUCAGUAGCACGUUUCAAAGACUUUCAAAGGCUUUCUUUCUUUUUGAAUAUUGUCUAUAAAUGACAUAUAGGUGGGGAGAGAAUCCUUGGAUCGUGACCCUUUCUUCAGAACUCUAUAUUCUACUCUCUGACUCUGACCUUGAAAGCCACCACUUGGACCAUCUUGUCCUCUCUGCGUCUUUGGGCUCCUGUUAGUGCUCGUGCGCAUGUGCAGGCGGUGAUGGUGGGAAAUCACACCUUUCUCUCAGGAGUUCUCACUGUGACGUCAUUACUCUAGAUAUCCUGGAAGAAGUUCCAGGUUGGAAAGCUGAUCAGUCCUGCAAUCAAAAAUCGGGCAGAAGAAUUUUCAGAUAUACUUCUUUCUUCAGAGAAAGGACUCAGAGAAUUCAGUCGUAAAGGAGGGGGUUCUGAACCUAGAAACCUUCUUUCUUUCUCUAUGAUGUGUUUUAGGUUUUGAGCGUGGCUAUGACUUCUCAGAGUUCCUUGCUCUUUGUGUGUCAUUCACACCAGGCAGGGACGCUGGGGAGGGAAUCUAAGUCCAAACCACAUGGUAGUCUAAGAAUGGAACCUAGACUAAAAUAGAGUCACACUCAGAGGUCUCAAGAUGGUAAAAGGAUAUUUCAUAUCUAACAGUGAGGUAAAAAGAACAUUGGGAGAUAAUCUCAAAACACUGAGAGUAUGAGUGAGGCAUUUCCUCAAAAAAUUAAAAAUAUAAUUACCAUAUGGUCCAGCAUUCCCACUUCCUAAAGAAUUAAAAGAGAAUUUUAAUCUCAAAGAGAUCUUUGCACUCUCCCGUUCAUAGCAGCAUUAUUCACCACAGAUGGGAUGCAGGAACAGCCCACACGGCCAUCGAUGUAUGAAUGGAGAAACAGAAUGCGGCACAUGCAGACACUGGAAUACUAUCCAACCUGAGAAAGGGAGGAAAUGUGCCGCGUACUAUAUCAUGGAUGAACCUCGAGGACAUUAGGGAAAAUUGAUGAGGGAUCUGGAAUAUAAGACAAGUGAGUAUUUGCAGGGGAUAGUGGCUGAAGUUAGCAGCUUUCCUGUGAAGGUCCAUUACUCAAGGUCAGCAAUUCUGUUUUAAAAAGGAAGGUCUUUGUGUAACUAAUAAACCUUUCCCCAGAUUUGCCCAGCUGUAGUGAUCCCAGUUCUUAUCUUUUUUUCCUCAUCAGUCUCAUCGCACUGCCUGAGGCCUUGAAUUUUCUGUGUUCUUUACACUCUCUAGAUAUGGUUGCUAAUAGUCUGAACACAAGGUCAAAAGCAGUCUUUGUCCUGGCCCCCUGAGGAGUCUCCCACCAUUGUUGUGGAGGCCCCAGAACCUAUGGGACAAAUCUCAUUUGCUAUCAUUUGUGAGGCCACACCUUUCUCUCCUUGUCCCCACAGCGAGGAUCAUCCUGAAUUCCCAGACAGCCAAUGGCUACCUCUCAGUGGCUCCAAAUGGGAAGAGUAUGAUGUUCACUGGCUUGUGGAUGAACAAAUGCCAGCGUGGUCAGAGAUUUGAUCCGGAGCCCGAGGUGCUGGGCAGUAAGGGCUUCACGUGGGGCAAAGUGUACUGGAAAGUGAAAGUGGACAGGAUCUGGUGGGAAGCAGAGGAGGAAGAAGACGCAAGGAGAUACAGGGCUGGAAGCAGAGGCGUGUUUGGCAGUAACGAUCUUGGUGGAUUUAUAAGCAUCACUGAUGGGUAUCAUUCUCCUGGAUAUAGAGAGGAGAAUGAGGAGUUGGAGGAGGAAUGGUCUCAGGAAAAUGGAAUAUGGCCAAAAUUCUGCCUGGUGGGGUGGCAAGAGAGUCAGUGGUGAAAAGGGGAUUUCUCAACUUCACCCCUGAGGAGGGGUUCUGGACUCUGCAGCUGUCCUCCGCUGUGAAGAUUGAGGGCAGAAUCCUGUCCUACUGCCCCCAGAAGAUUGGAGUUGCUCUGGAUCAUGAUGGUGGGAAGGUAACCUUUACCAGUGCCAGAACUCAAGAGUUCAUCUAUGAAUUCUCAUCUGCCUUCACUGGGAGAAUUUUCCCUUUCCUGUGGCCUAACUGCAUGAGAUCCAGACUUAUGCUGAAACCCUUAGAGAAGACCUCCUGGCACAGCCCAUGUUUUUUCAUUUACCCUUUGUUCCUUUUCAUCAGUCCCAGCUCUGCCUCAGCUGGAUGGUCCUGCUGGGUUUCUGAAUGCUCUCAGAUGACUGGAGCUUUAUGGCGGUCACGAGUCUCUUGUCCUCCCUGCUUUGUCUCUGAAAUGGGGAUCGUAAUAGUUGAUCUUUCUCUAAGGGGAAUGGUUGGAAUGUCUUUAAUGUGUUUAUUAAAAUGUGCCUUAACUAA
This is a long non-coding RNA of Bubalus bubalis (water buffalo), 2325 nucleotides long. RefSeq lists it as uncharacterized. The record is from RefSeq and is a predicted model, not a curated record. Lineage: Eukaryota; Metazoa; Chordata; Mammalia; Artiodactyla; Bovidae. The transcript is spliced from 3 exons.